This 64-nucleotide transfer RNA is filed under the name Strongylium suspicax. Its description in RNAcentral is "tRNA-Arg". The record is from RNAcentral. Lineage: Eukaryota; Metazoa; Arthropoda; Insecta; Coleoptera; Tenebrionidae.
AAAUAAGAAGCAAAAAAUUGCAUUUAGUUUCGACCUAAAAAUUUGACUUUAAAGUCCUUAUUUU